Molecule: ribosomal RNA, 452 nt
Filed under: uncultured bacterium
Lineage: Bacteria
Description: SSU rRNA
Rfam family: Bacterial small subunit ribosomal RNA
Source: RNAcentral
AGGAUGAACGCUGGCGGCAUGCCUAACACAUGCAAGUCGAACGGUCCUUUUAGGACAGUGGCGGACGGGUGAGUAACACGUUGGUACCUUCCCCGGAGUGGGGAUAAUUCGCCGAAAGGCGGACUAAUACCCCAUGGUCUUGCACUUGUUGCAAGUAAAGAUUUAUUGCUCUGGGAUGGGCCUGCGGUUGAUUAGCUUGUUGGUGAGGUAAUGGCUCACCAAGGCGACGAUCAAUAGCUGGAUCGAGAGGUUGACCAGCCACACUGGGACUGAGAUACGGCCCAGACUCCUACGGGAGGCAGCAGUGAGGAAUUUUCCGCAAUGGGCGAAAGCCUGACGGAGCAAUGCCGCGUGAAGGAAGAAGCCUUUCGGGGUGUAAACUUCUUUAUCAGGGAAGAAGACAUGACGGUACCUGAUGAAUAAGCAUCGGCUAACUACGCGCCAGCAGCCGC